This 253-nucleotide ribosomal RNA is filed under the name uncultured bacterium. RNAcentral describes it as "partial 16S ribosomal RNA". It matches the Rfam family "Bacterial small subunit ribosomal RNA", at positions 524 to 776 of the family's 1533-position model. The record is from RNAcentral.
UACGUAGGCAGCGAGCGUUGUUCGGAAUUACUGGGCGUAAAGAGUGUGUAGGCGGUGCUCCAAGUCUGUUGUGAAAUCUCCCGGCUCAACUGGGAGGGUGCGCCGAAUACUGAGCGACUAGAGUGCGGGAGAGGAAAGUGGAAUUCCUGGUGUAGCGGUGAAAUGCGUAGAUAUCAGGAGGAACACCGGUGGCGAAGGCGGCAUCCUGGACCAAUAUUGACGCUGAGGAGCGAAAGCUAGGGGAGCAAACGGG